GAUGAACGCUGGCGGCGUGCCUAAUACAUGCAAGUCAAACGAAACUUCUUUAUCACCGAGUGCUUGCACUCACCGAUAAAGAGUUGAGUGGCGAACGGGUGAGUAACACGUGGGCAACCUGCCCAAAAGAGGGGGAUAACACUUGGAAACAGGUGCUAAUACCGCAUAACCAUAGUUACCGCAUGGUAACUAUGUAAAAGGUGGCUAUACUACCGCUUUUGGAUGGGCCCGCGGCGCAUUAGCUAGUUGGUAGGGUAAAGGCUUACCAAGGCAAUGAUGCGUAGCCGAAUUGAGAGGUUGAUCGGCCACAUUGGGACUGAGACACGGCCCAAACUCCUACGGGAGGCAGCAGUAGGGAAUCUUCCACAAUGGGCGAAAGCCUGAUGGAGCAACGCCGCGUGGGUGAAGAAGGUCUUCGGAUCGUAAAACCCUGUUGUUAGAGAAGAAAGUGCGUGAGAGUAACUGUUCACGUUUCGACGGUAUCUAACCAGAAAGCCACGGCUAACUACGU
Molecule: ribosomal RNA, 511 nt
Filed under: uncultured bacterium
Lineage: Bacteria
Description: partial 16S ribosomal RNA
Rfam family: Bacterial small subunit ribosomal RNA
Source: RNAcentral